Molecule: long non-coding RNA, 6349 nt
Organism: Prinia subflava (tawny-flanked prinia)
Lineage: Eukaryota; Metazoa; Chordata; Aves; Passeriformes; Cisticolidae
Exons: 4
Source: RefSeq, a predicted model, not a curated record
UUCCAGCUGUUUUCUCAGGCAAUGAUGAGCACAUCCCUACAUUAGAUUUCAGAAGGAAAAAGCUGUUGCAGCACACAAGAGGUAUGCAUGUUACACAGGAUGCUCCAUAUUUAGAAAAAGGUAAUGUUGCUAAUGAAAUUUUAUUUUCAUUCUUCCACAUAGUACUUGCUUUAUAUUUGUCUGAGACAUCUUCAUACCUCACUUGCCAUUUUUUUCUUCCACAGCACAUAUACGUUUUUUUCUCCAUUUAAGCUGAAAGCACCACCUACUACACCCCAAUUUGUAUUUUAACAUGCUGUAGACUACAUAAACCCAGAUUUUCACUAAUACACUUCAUAAUAUUGAGCUGUACGGAAUUGUAAGAUAUUUAGAACAAGUCUGGCUAUACUUUGCAGGGCUGUCAAGUAAUUAAAUACAUUUAAAAUGUAUUUCUUCGCAGAUUCCAUUUUUCCUCUUUAGGUAAAAGAAUUGGGAAUUUGGAUUAUGCUGAGAACACGAACUGAACACAGAAAAAUGGUGUGGCACCUCACCCUUAAAGUCCAUCCUUCAUGCUCUAGUUCUGUUACAAAUAAUAAGCUGAGCAGCUUAAUGCAAAGCACAGGGAUCAGAAAGUUUUCAAUGGGUUGUUCCAACAAAAACACAAUCCGUGCUGUCCCAAACCCCAAAGUUUUGCUCCGUGUAGCUGCUGCCUUCCCCCUCCUCAGUCACCAAUGCGACGACUGACAGAAAUCUGCCAAGUCACUUUGAAGUAAAAACUAGUUGAUUCUAGAGAAAAACAGUAAUUAGUUGCACAGCGCAGAGAGAAGCCCUCCAGAAACAUGCGUAAGGAUGUUAUUGUAGGAGAUAGGUGGGGAAAAGCACUCUUCCUGCUUUUUGCCUGGUUUACAGGGAUUUUUCCCAGGCGCCAACAGCUCCCACAGCAAACCCCUCCUGCCCUUGCCUGUACUCCAGGCUGAGCCAGUUCCUUCCCCCCCGGCUCACCAGAACAGGAAUCCCCUUUUCCAAGGGGAUUAUCAGCACGAGCAGUUUUUUGGGUUUUUUUGGUUUUUUUUUUAAGCAAAAGCACACAUAGAACCGAGCGAGCCGCAGCCCCCGGCGCCGGGACCCGCUCCCAGCCAUUGUGCUCCGCGCAGCCCCCCGGGCUCGGGCGCGGCCCCGCGGGGCUCCACAAAGCUCCGCCACAGGCCGGACGUGCCCGGUGCCCCGGGCCUCCCCUCCCCCCGGUAUUCCGGGAAACCUCCGGGAGGAGGAGGAGGAGGAGGAGGAAGCGGCGGCGCUGCGGAACAGCCCCGCUGCGGAAAAGCCGCCGGGGCAGGUGGCAGGGAGGGAGGCCCCGCCGGGGCUGGUUCCCUCCUCCAUCCCGGUGCCCCCCCUCGCCAUCCCGGAGGCACCGAGCGCUUCCUCCUCCCUCCCACCAGGACCGCGUGCGGGAGCUCGGGCCCACCUGCCCCGUGGGGAGGGAAGGAGGGAGGGCUAGAGGGGGACCGGACCCGUCCCCUCCCCGAGGCGGCGGUGGCAUUUCCCCCGCCGGAAAGAGGCGGGACAUCCCGGACGAUUGACAGGUUUUCUGGCCAACUGAGCUAAGAGGCGGGGUGAUGUGGUGGGAGCGGCGGUAUGAUUGGUUAGGGUGGACAUCAGUCACGUUGCAAGCGAAGAGCCGAUUGGCGGUGGCCGCGAUGGGGCGGUUCCUCCCAGAGCAGCCUGCGCUGCUGUCACAUCCGCUGGUCCCGCUCUCGCCGUUCCCUCAGUGGUUUCCUGAGGGAAGAGGGAUCUCCUGAGGGGAGCGGGAUCGCCGGGCUCCCGGGAGAAGCUCCGCGCCACGCUCCGACGGGCCCCCAGGACCAUAUAUGGUCCCUCCAUACCGCCAGCCUGCAUCCUGGUGUUUCCAUAGGGAAGAAACAAAAGCGGUGUAUAACCAGAACUGGUGUUAUUUCAGCUUUUUCCUAUACAAGGAAAUGGGAAGACAGUGAAAAAUGUUGAAAUGUACAUAGUUUACAGCUUGUAUGCCACACACACUAUAGGAUUGGAGGCAUACAUAUAUAUACAUAUACAUAAUGGAGUGAGGCAGGAGGGAAAAGAUGGGAAUUGUGCUGUGGUUUCUGAAGAGAGAGACUGGAGGUUUUGAACACUGUAACAAGGAAACAAGUGGUGAAAUGCCACAUUAUUUCACCAAUCCCAUUUUUCAGUGUGUGCUAAUCACAUUCCUUGGGAGCGGUAACCUUGAAAUCUUCACCUUGCAGAUUUUUCAUAGUGUCCAACUUCCUAACCUGCUGCUGCAGCUUGCAAGAAAUAAAUACAACAAAUUGUGAAAAUCACCCGAGGACUUUAUUUCCUCCAGAGGUGCUGCUGCUUUAAAAGGAAAGCAAGAACAAUGAGCACAAUUUCCUCCUGUCUUGGAGGUUUCUGGCCCUGCUGAGGAUGUGAGGAGCCACAAAGAACCCACGUGGAGGACACCUAUCCUGGACCACACCUGAUCUUUUGCAGCCCUCUUCAAAGCAGUGCACAAAACUCCAAGGAUUCAUGGCCCAUGGAUUGGAAAUAGUCCUAGAAAAACACAAUGCCUAUGCUUAUUUUUCUGAAGAUCACUCGUUAGAUUUCCCGUCAGCACUGUCAGAGGGUGAAAUCUUGGCCCCAGCUGAACUCAACAGGAAUUUUGCCACUGACUUGAAUGGAGCUAAAAUGUCACUCCUGCUAUUUGUCAAGCCAAUUACAUCCAGACAAUACUUUAACAUCUGGCUUCAAGUGAACACACAGAGCAGUUUGCUCCCUCAGUCUCUGAAGACAACAUGGGACAUUGGCUACCUCCAUAAAAAAUGAACCAUUUGUUCUUGUCAAGCUGCUUGUAAUGAAGAGGGGAUCCAUCCAGUGACACCCAGGAACCAAGUCCCUGUUCCUUAGCCUAUAGUUUUUGGCAAUAGCAUCAAUAGAUUUUCUGUCACUUUCUGGGAAGAAUGUCAAAAGCACCCAUCUACUGUUGUAAGUCAUUCUGUUGUAAAAACUUUGUUUAGAACAGCAGAUCUGGCCUCAUCUGUGGUUUCUCACAGACAAGGGGGGCUUUCACCCAGUUCAUCUUUUGUUUCCUGAGGCACUGGAAGGUCUCUUGUUAGGUCACGGAGCAGCAUUUCUGUCUACACCCUUCUCUGAGUAUGGUGGUCAAAAGUAAGGCUGAAGGACAACUGAUUAUAGGAGAACAAAUGGUGUGAGCUCAUUUCUUGUUCUAAAAACCCACCUGAAACAAGGCAAUGUUGAUUUAUUGCAAAAUAUAAAGGUUAGGUCAACCUCAAGUAGGGCACACCUUUUCCUGGUAGGAAAAAAAACCCCUAUAUAUAAAAUUAUUUGAUCACUGGUGAUUAAAAAUCUGUUUGAAUGUGAAGAAUCACAGGAUCACAGAAUAGUUUUGAUUGGAAGAGACAUUAAAGAUUGUCCAAUUCCAGCUCCAUGCUGUGGGCACAGACACUUCCCACUAGACCAAGUUGCUUCAAGCCCCAUCCAGCCUGGCCUUGAACACUUCCAGAGAUGGGGCAUUCAUAACUUCUCUGGGCAUCCACAGCUUCUCUGAGUCAUUGGAUGAUGUCUGGAAGAAGAGGGAUGUGCAAAGAGAGGGAUCAGGUAGAGAGGGAUCUGUUCCCAGCUCUAGUACUGGUGAGUUGCUGUACUGCUCACCUGUGCAAAACCAGCUUCCCUUGGUCUCCUUCCAUCCCCUGGGAUGCAAAACCAAACUCACUCACCAGCAUCUGAUGAGCCUUAAUUCCCAGCACUUAAAUAAUUCGCUUCUCAAAUGUACGAAAACAACUCUCAUUUUCUGGAUUAAUGAAGGGAGCUGGGUUCCACUGAGCACGGCUAUUACGGGGCUGCUAAUGCAGUGUUUGAUUCCAUGGCUGCCACUGAGCACAGAGCGAUCCAGGCCCCUGGGAGAGCAGCAGCUCAGGGAGAGAAACCUGCAGGGUUAAAGUGGGAGCCAGCAGGGGAAACCCUGGCACUGCUUUGUGGGUUUAUGCAGAGGGAGGGAUGGUUUUAUUUCUGAGUCUCAUCUGGGUUUAUGAUGGUUCCCCAUAUCCCAGAUGAAGGCUGAACUCAGGGAGAUCCUGAGGGUGGGUAGUUUGCUUUAAUCACAGGCCAGGUAAAGGCAGCUUCUCAAGCAGGGUAACAAAAACGUGACACAAACAGAAACCUAAAACUUAGGUAGUCACACAGUGGCUUCUGCCCAGAUUCUGUAGACAGAGCAGUAGAGAAUGGCAAGGAGCUGGAAGGCUACAGUGGAACUGGAAUGUUCUUGUCCUCUGUGUUCAUUUGGCUGAGGAGUUGGUAGGAAAACUGGUUGCAAAAAGUCAAUCUUGCCUCAUUUUGGCAGGUACAGGCAUCUAAACUCUUCAAAACAAGCUUCUGUUCUUUCUUUGGCACAGGGCUGGCAAGUCUGUUGUUCCCAAAAGGAAGGAGAGGGGGCUGAGGAAAUGUCAGCCUGCAAAGGCUGCCUUGCUCUGCCCUGGGAGUUUUAAACUGAGUCCACUUUACAUGGACAACUCAACACUGUUGGACUGUUCCUUUCCUCUCUCUGCAUCGCUGCUUCCUUGCCUUGUACAUGGAAUAGGGAAGAGAAAAUAACCACAAAAUCAGGGAAUUUGAGCUGUAACUGCUGCCACUCAGCAAAGUGAUGCAGCUUCUCAGAGAACUGGAGAUGAAAAGGCCUGGAGUGUUGAUUUUCUCAAAUCCUUCAGCUGUCAAAGAGCCCUUCAGAGUCAUUCUCCCACUCCCCUUAGAACAUCCAAAAUAGUGAUCUUGCAGCCCUAGAUGUGGAUUUGGGGCUAAAUAUCUUCUCACACUGAAGUUCUCCUCUAACAACUUGUCCUUCAGCACAGGGCAUCUGUCACAUCUAUAAACCAAACCAAACCAAACCUAUUUAGCUCUGUAAGAAAAGUCUGAAAUUGCAAUGGAAGCCCUGGGUUAAUCAAGCACCUUGGUGAAAAUAUAGCAGGAGUUGAGAGGUUAACAUGGAAAUUCAUGGAACUGUGAUGGUUUAUCCAGCAAAGUUUCUGCUUCAUUCAGUGCCAGGCACCAGGAACCUGCUCAAGAAGCUCACCUUCCCAAAUCAGGAGCACUUCCCUGGAGGUGGUCAUUCAAAAUUAAGCACCUUUGAAAAUGCAUGGAUGCUGCUUCUCAUGUCAGGGCUUGUUGGGCCACUGACUUGAGAGGAGUAAUUUAGCUGAAGCAAUCAGGAAAUAAUUAUUACAGUGGAGAGUUAAAAGACAGUAAUUAAACUGUAUAAAUAAAUAACUGAAGAGACUAAAAAGUCCACCCAAAGCCUACUUUUGGAGCACUAUUUAAUGUAAAUGAAUCACUUAGUGGACAAUACAACAAUCAUCUGUUCAGCUUCUAUUCAUUAUCAAAAACAAUACAGAAGGAUUGGCAGGGAAUAGUCGUGUGCCAGAGGGAGCCCUUUAGGAAAUACCACAGAAUCAGGACUGGCUUUUGUCUGUUCUUCUAUUGUGUUCUGACAAUGCUUUGCUAAUGAACGUCAUUAGAGUUGUCUUUUUAUUUUUUUUUUAUUUUUUCCCCCCAAAACCAGAUCAGUGGUAAUCUUGGCCUUCUAGAGUUGCUUGUUCCUGUUGGGAAGGCUUCCACACAUUAUGUAUCAGUUUAGCCAGGGUCCAGGAGGCUGAGCAUGUGUUGUCUCAGGCCCACUGGGAAAUCCCACUGUAGGUGAUGAGACAAAAUCCUUUAAUUUGGGCAAAAAUCCAUCAAGUUUUAAAGAAAUCAUCACGUGUCUGAAACAGGCAGUGCUUAGCGAGUUGUAUACUCAGUAAAUUUGUCUUUUGUUACUUUAUUUGAAAGGACAAUAACCUCAUUCUGAGAAACAAGCUGCUUUUCCAUAGGGAGUAUUUACACUGAUCAUUCCCAGCAUUAUCAUGGCAGUUAUCUGCAGGAAGCUACAGGCUGAAGGGAAUCCCCAUCAGGAAUCUGGGGAGCUAAACCCACCAGGCAGACACCUGUGCUAGAACAGAGGUAAGACAAUAUCAAACACUAAAAUGCUGUGAUUAUGCCUCAGAACUGAUGAUCCCCUGGCAUUCCCAUCCCUUAGGAGUUACUGGUUUGGAAUAGCUCCAAGUUCACACCUGAGGGUGCAGCAGGUACCCAGAGGGGUUCCCUUUUCUGACCUGGUUCCUUGGAUCACUUCUGCAUUGCUGCUGCAACUUUCAGCUCCUGCAGCGUUGCUGGUUGGAGCCCCGCAGCACAAAAUCACUGUGACAGUCUGAGUUAAGAAAAAAGAGCAACAGUGAUACACUUAAAAGAAUAAACAGGCUUUUCUGCUGAGAAAAUGCACGUGGAAUAGCACCCGGAUUUGACUUUCCAA